RNAcentral lists this ribosomal RNA (457 nucleotides) under uncultured bacterium. RNAcentral's name for it is "partial 16S ribosomal RNA". It matches the Rfam family "Bacterial small subunit ribosomal RNA", at positions 338 to 795 of the family's 1533-position model. The record is from RNAcentral.
CCUACGGGAGGCAGCAGUGGGGAAUAUUGCACAAUGGGGGAAACCCUGAUGCAGCGACGCCGCGUGAGUGAAGAAGUAUUUCGGGAUGUAAAGCUCUAUCAGCAGGGAAGAAACCCACCCUACGGGGUGGCUGACGGUACCUGACGAAGAAGCCACGGCUAACUACGUGCCAGCAGCAGCGGUAAGACGGAGGGGGCAAGCGUUAUCCCGAUUUACUGGGUGUAAAGGGGGCGCUAGCGGCGUUGCAAGCCAAGAGGGAAAGCCCGGGGCCCAACCCCGGGACUGCCCUUGGAACUGCGUGCCUUGAGUGCAGGAGAGGCAGGCGGAAUGCCUGGUGUAGCGGUGAAAUGCGUAGAUAUCAGGAGGAACACCGGUGGCGAAGGCGGCCUGCUGGCCUGCAACUGACGUUGAGGCCCGAAGGCGUGGGGAGCAAACAGGAUUAGAUACCCGAGUAGUC